AAAGGAAUUGACGGGUCCCCGCACAAGCAGCGGAGCGUGUGGUUUAAUUCGAUGCUACACGAAGAACCUUACCUGGGUUUGACAUAGAGGUAGUAGGGAAGCGAAAGCGGACCGACCUUCGGGAGCCUCUACAGGUGUUGCAUGGCUGUCGUCAGCUCGUGUCCGUGAGAUGUUCGGUUAAGUCCGCUUAACGAGCGCAACCCUCGCCUGUGUGUUACAAGUGUCACACGGUACUGCCGAUAUUAAGUCGGAGGAAGGUGGGGAUGACGUCAAGUCAGCAUGACCUUUAUAUCCAGGGCUACACACACGCUACAAUGGCCAGUACAAUGGGUUGCCAAGCCGCGAGGCGGAGCCAAUCCUAAAAAGCUGGCCUCAGUUCAGAUUGCAGUCUGCAACUCGACUGCAUGAAGUUGGAGUUGCUAGUAACCGCAGGUCAGCAAUACUGCGGUGAAUACGUUCCCGGGAUU
This 467-nucleotide ribosomal RNA is filed under the name uncultured Anaerolineaceae bacterium. RNAcentral describes it as "bacterial SSU rRNA". It matches the Rfam family "Bacterial small subunit ribosomal RNA", at positions 903 to 1381 of the family's 1533-position model. The record is from RNAcentral. Lineage: Bacteria; Bacillati; Chloroflexota; Anaerolineae; Anaerolineales; Anaerolineaceae.